RNAcentral lists this ribosomal RNA (392 nucleotides) under Chrysophyceae sp. RNAcentral describes it as "partial small subunit ribosomal RNA". It matches the Rfam family "Eukaryotic small subunit ribosomal RNA", at positions 582 to 975 of the family's 1831-position model. The record is from RNAcentral. Lineage: Eukaryota; Chrysophyceae.
AUUCCAGCUCCAAUAGCGUAUACUAAAGUUGCUGCAGUUAAAAAGCUCGUAGUUGAAUUUCUGGUCGUGAAAAGUGGUCCGUUCCGCAAGGAAUGUGUACUGUCUAUUCAUGUCCAUCCUCGGAGUUAGUGUGUAUUACUUAAAUCGGUCGUGCAUGCAAUACUUCGUCAUUUACUGUGAGCAAAAUAGAGUGUUCAAAGCAGGCUUAUGCCGUUGAAUAUAUUAGCAUGGAAUAAUAAGAUAUGACUUUGGUCUAUUUUGUUGGUUUGCACUCCAAAGUAAUGAUUAAUAGGGACAGUCAGGGGCACUCGUAUUCCGCCGAGAGAGGUGAAAUUCUCAGACCAGCGGAAGACGAACCACUGCGAAAGCAUUUGCCAGGGAUGUUUUCAUUA